Long non-coding RNA from Penaeus chinensis, 1698 nucleotides. RefSeq lists it as uncharacterized. The transcript is spliced from 5 exons. Lineage: Eukaryota; Metazoa; Arthropoda; Malacostraca; Decapoda; Penaeidae. The record is from RefSeq and is a predicted model, not a curated record.
CUGCCAACCGUAACCUACAACACCAUGGUUACAAACAUCUGAGUAUUAAUCAUUCUGAGAAUUUUGUAGACCCAGACAACCCAGAAAUACACACACAGAAUGUAGAGAGGUUGUGGAGGGACCUGAAGGAAUGGGUCAAGCGGCCAGGUAUUAGGGCCGAUUACAUCAACCAAUAUCUGGCCCGCUAUUUAUUUAUAAAAUCACAAGAAACAUCACUGAUACAUUCAUUUUUCAUACAAGCGGCAGAACUAUAACCGCCGCAAGGCGGGAAAAGAAAGGACUCUGGAGUCAGCUGCCCCAGUCCCUCUGGAUGAAACAUCUUCAGAGAGCGAGUGAAAUAAGGUUUGAGCCAGUCAUGCUCAGGUCUAGGAAGGACAAGAUCUAGUUGGUUACCAGCUUCAUUAGAAAAUAGAGAUGAAUAAGGGGAUUCUAGCAGACAAGUUAUUAAAGAGAGUAGUCGUCCCUCGUCAGCUAGAAGUAUCUACACUCUGCCUUGGACGUGCCUCACCAGCAGCAGCUUAUCCAAGUGUCUUUAGGACGUUCUAGACAAUAUCCCCACCAUGCUGCUAAGUGCGAUGAAAUCUAUCAAGAAGUGUGACAAAUGCCAGUUCUGCAAGGGAUGUGCCAAUGCGAAAUUCUUGCAGCUGCACCUACAUGCACCUGAAAGGGUUUCUGCUGUUUCUGAAGGAAUAGAUUUGUGAUGGAUCAGACACUUCUUUCAUCAUACAAAUCUGUCUGUUGGCCUAAGUACACCAUCAACAGUGAUAUGUCUGCAGUAAUGAGGGAAUGACUUUCCCUCUCAUGGGAUACUGCAAAAGAUGUCACUAGAAUAGCAAGAUAAGCUUGUACACGGAUGUUGACAGGAGAUUAGUAUAGAUGGUCAAAAGGAGGGUAUAUUGUAACCAUUAAGACUUAGAAACUGGCAGCUUUGCAGAGAAAAAUCUUCGGAUGAGGAUGGAGAAGACCUAAGGAGCUGUCCUGGAGUAACCUGACGAAAAUGACAUCAAUCUUGGAAAGUGAAAAUGUACAAGUACCAAGUGACCAUACUAAUCAUAUGAUAAAGUCGUGGUGGAAUACAGAAUUAUCAAUUAAUGAAUCGCUUGUGAUUAGCUAAGUACUGCGUGAUAAUUUGUUGUUCAAGAACCUUCACUUCCAUCAAACACAGACGACAACACAAACAUCCCAGUCCUCAAGAGAACAUUAGUGAACCUGGAAAACAAAAGGAGACCAGAUAGCUUACCUUCACUAAUGCUAACUCUCAUACUAUGUGGUGAUGAAACAUCAAAUAACAGUGAUUAAAUUAUUUAAGAAAUUUAGAAUGGCAUUUCUUUCCCCCCCCCCACUCUAGAUAUCUUGGAUAUUAUAGUAGGGUAGUCUAAUCUGUAGAAAAUUUAUAUCUAUACGCAAAUCAUUUCAACAUAGCCAAUAGGAAACUGAGCAAUGUUGAGGAUUACAUGUCUCUUAAUAAUUAGAACUCAAACACGUCUGUCUUGGUCUGUUUGGGAAGUAGAUACAUUACAUUGCUAUUGUCAAGAGCAGAACUAGAUGGAGAUCAUAAAAUCACACCUACAUAUUAAGGACAAUACUGAUGUAAAACAAAAAGUAAUAAAAUGAUGUAAAAAAAAAUAAUACUUUUUAAGGUAAUUUAAAGAAAUCUCAAAAACUUGUUGAAAGGAUGAAAGGUUGACUAUGUGCCAA